GUUAUAGCUCAGGGGUAGAGUGCUUGCCUAACAUGUAUGAGGCACUGGGUUCAAUCCUCAGCAUCACA
This 68-nucleotide transfer RNA is filed under the name Marmota monax (woodchuck). RNAcentral describes it as "tRNA.Val". Lineage: Eukaryota; Metazoa; Chordata; Mammalia; Rodentia; Sciuridae. The record is from RNAcentral.